This 364-nucleotide ribosomal RNA is filed under the name uncultured bacterium. RNAcentral describes it as "partial 16S ribosomal RNA". It matches the Rfam family "Bacterial small subunit ribosomal RNA", at positions 338 to 699 of the family's 1533-position model. The record is from RNAcentral.
CCUACGGUAGGCAGCAGUGAGGAAUAUUGGUCAAUGGACGCAAGUCUGAACCAGCCAUGCCGCGUGCAGGAAGACGGCUCUAUGAGUUGUAAACUGCUUUUGUAAGAGGGUAAAUAGCGAUACGUGUCUCGGGUUCACCGUAUCGUACGAUUACGGAUCGUCUAACUCCGUACCAGCAGCCGCGGUAAUACGGAGGAUCCAAGCGUUAUCCGGAUUUAUUGGGUUGAAAGGGUGCGUAGGCGGGUCGGUAAGUUAGAGGUGAAAUCUGGGGGCUCAACUCUUGCACUGCAUCUGAUACUGGCGGGCUUGAGUUCAGUUGCGGUAGGCGGAAUGUAUGGUGUAGCGGUGAAAUGCGUAGAGAUCA